This 68-nucleotide transfer RNA is filed under the name Cheliceroides longipalpis. RNAcentral describes it as "tRNA-Met". The record is from RNAcentral. Lineage: Eukaryota; Metazoa; Arthropoda; Arachnida; Araneae; Salticidae.
GUUUAAGUCAGCUAAUAAAGCUAAUGAGUUCAUAUCUCAUAGAUGAAUUUAUAUUAAUUCCCUCUAUU